Molecule: long non-coding RNA, 593 nt
Filed under: Monodelphis domestica (gray short-tailed opossum)
Lineage: Eukaryota; Metazoa; Chordata; Mammalia; Didelphimorphia; Didelphidae
Description: lncRNA (ENSMODG00000032576.2)
Source: RNAcentral
UAUUAAUUACAUGGAGAUGGUUAAUGAAGAAUAUCUACACAAUUCUCCUUUCUCAAUCUCUUUCACAAGUGUCUGUGACUCUGAGUGAAUCUUGGUAAAUGGAAAUCACAAUCACCUUCAACAUCCACUUUUAUGUCCCAUUUCCUGUGGGCAUUUUUCCUCAUCUGCAAAAUGAGGGGGUUGUAAUAGAUAAUCUCUCUCUGAUGCCCUUCAGUUCAUUCUCGUUUAUAUUCCAAAUUUGGAAUUAUAGGGCACAGGGAAAUGUGAGUAUUUUUGUGCUUCCUGGCUUCGUUUGGAUGGACCUGAUGAUAUAUAGUGAAGCACCUUCUUGCUCAAAUCAAACCUUCCUGUUGGGUUUACCAGGUCACUCCAGGGCCCAGCUGCAGCCUCUGCCAGACAGGGGACCAGGAGAACUCUUUUUCACUCAAAACAAGAUGGAUGGCAUUUCUCUUCAUAUCAGGUCACAAUAAAGCUCCUUAAAGUAUCAUUUCCAUUUUAGCGUCCUUCACAUUUCCCUACUGUCUAUGUAAACACAUACUCUCCAUAAAGGCUGUGCAUUUUAAGGUACUUGAAUAAAGCCAUAGAAGAGGAAU